GGCAGCGUGGCCGAGCGGUUAAGGCGUAGCACUCGAACUACGGAGAUCUCCACCCGGAGAAUCCUACGAUAUGCUAUUCAUUCGUGAGCGUGUGUUCGAAUCACACCGCUGUCG
This 114-nucleotide transfer RNA is filed under the name Penicillium italicum. It matches the Rfam family "tRNA". Rfam says of the family: Transfer RNA (tRNA) molecules are approximately 80 nucleotides in length. Lineage: Eukaryota; Fungi; Ascomycota; Eurotiomycetes; Eurotiales; Aspergillaceae. The record is from Rfam by way of RNAcentral.